RNAcentral lists this ribosomal RNA (503 nucleotides) under uncultured bacterium. Its description in RNAcentral is "partial 16S ribosomal RNA". It matches the Rfam family "Bacterial small subunit ribosomal RNA", at positions 29 to 523 of the family's 1533-position model. The record is from RNAcentral.
AGCGAACACUAGCGGCAGGCCUAACACAUGCAAGUCGAGGGGUAGCAGGAUUAAGCUUGCUUAAUUGCUGACGACCGGCGCACGGGUGCGUAACGCGUAUGCAACCUACCUUAUACUGGGGCAUAGCCCGGAGAGAUUCGGAUUAAUCCCCCAUAGUACUAAUGAAUCGCAUGGUUUAUUAGUUAAAGCAUUGCGGUAUAAGAUGGGCAUGCGUCCUAUUAGCUAGAUGGUGAGGUAACGGCUCACCAUGGCUACGAUAGGUAGGGGGCCUGAGAGGGUGGUCCCCCACACUGGUACUGAGACACGGACCAGGCUCCUACGGGAGGCAGCAGUGAGGAAUAUUGGUCAAUGGGCGCAAGCCUGAACCAGCCAUGCCGCGUGCAGGAAGAAUGCCCUAUGGGUUGUAAACUGCUUUUAUUUGGGAAUAAACCUCUUUACGUGUAGAGAGCUGAAGGUACCAAAUGAAUAAGCACCGGCUAACUCCGUGCCAGCCGCCGCGGUAA